RNAcentral lists this long non-coding RNA (1052 nucleotides) under Cotesia glomerata. RNAcentral's name for it is "uncharacterized LOC123262036". Lineage: Eukaryota; Metazoa; Arthropoda; Insecta; Hymenoptera; Braconidae. The record is from RNAcentral.
GCCGUGGCGACGGGUCGCCACGCUAUACUAAGGUAUACAUAUAUAUAUUUUAUGUGUAGUAGAGUGUACGGUGUGGCGACGGGUCGCCACGCUAUACUGAGUAGAGUGUACGGUGUGGCUUCUCACUCAGUUCGACGUUGUUGUUUACUACGGUACACAUAACCUGCGUUUUAUUUAAUUUUGAUGUGAAACAUUUUUAUUUUAAUUUUUGACAAUAAAAUAUGUGUGAUAGUGAUAACUCAGAAGAUCAAAGUGAUCAACCUUGUGCAAAGAAAGUGAAACUACACUAUGGCAUACUACCAAGUCAUCAUUCCCAACAAUCAUCACAGGGAUCACAAAAUAUUAUUAUUGAAACUGGACGCCACCCUGAUCAGUUAAACACAAGGCAUACUAUCAAUGUUGUGUAAGACUUUAUUAAUCGAAUAGUACCAGACUAUUUUAAUUUUUAUCUUAGAUCUGGCCGCUGGAGUGGCCAUUUACAAAAACAACAACACUUCACAUGUUACUACACUCAACAUGGAUCUAGCAGUUCAAAAUGCUACAGAAGUUCAUGUUUCCGAAACAUCUAUUGAUGAUAUGUGUGCUUCACAUGUUAAACUAUAAGACGGAAGUGAAUUAAUUAUGAUUGUAGUAUACAUUUCACCUAAUAACAAAAUGGAUCAUAUAAUUUCAUUUUUAUAUGAAAGGUUAUUUCCUUAUAGUCAAAGAGGUUCAAUAAUUUUUAAAACGAAUAAACAUAAACUACCAUUAAUUUUAGCUGGAGAUUUUAAUGUAAAUUUUGCAAGAGCUGAAUCAAUGCCAUUACAAUCCAAGAGAAUCUACUACCAAAUAUGGAACAACAAUAGAUGCUGUAUUUGUGAGAUAUCUUGAUAAUGUUUCAUCCAAUACUUUUGUAACGUACUUUAGUUAUCAUCGACCAAUCGUCACAGUAAUACCGGCAGAGGAAACAUCGAAUAUAACUAUUACUGAAGUCACAGAUGAAAAUAUUUAAAUUGUGGCCACUUGAUAUUAAUAUCGAAUUUUUAUAUCACAUGUAAAUAAAUGUUUAUUAA